Molecule: ribosomal RNA, 525 nt
Filed under: uncultured bacterium
Lineage: Bacteria
Description: partial 16S ribosomal RNA
Rfam family: Bacterial small subunit ribosomal RNA
Source: RNAcentral
UGGGGAAUAUUGCACAAUGGGCGAAAGCCUGAUGCAGCAACGCCGCGUGAGUGAUGAAGGCCUUCGGGUUGUAAAGCUCUGUCUUUUGGGACGAUAAUGACGGUACCAAAGGAGGAAGCCACGGCUAACUACGUGCCAGCAGCCGCGGUAAUACGUAGGUGGCAAGCGUUGUCCGGAUUUACUGGGCGUAAAGGAUGCGUAGGCGGAUUUUUAAGUGAGAUGUGAAAUACCCGGGCUUAACUUGGGUGCUGCAUUUCAAACUGGGAAUCUAGAGUGCGGGAGAGGAGAAUGGAAUUCCUAGUGUAGCGGUGAAAUGCGUAGAGAUUAGGAAGAACACCAGUGGCGAAGGCGAUUCUCUGGACCGUAACUGACGCUGAGGCAUGAAAGCGUGGGUAGCAAACAGGAUUAGAUACCCUGGUAGUCCACGCCGUAAACGAUGAGUACUAGGUGUAGGAGGUAUCGACCCCUUCUGUGCCGCAGUUAACACAAUCAAGUACUCCGCCUGGGAAGUACGAUCGCAAGAUU